UACGGAGGGUGCGAGCGUUAAUCGGAAUCACUGGGCGUAAAGGGCGCGUAGGCGGCUAUGCAAGUCAGGUGUGAAAGCCCACGGCUUAACCGUGGAAUUGCAUCUGAAACUGCAUGGCUUGAGUAUGGGAGAGGAAAGUGGAAUUCCCGGUGUAGAGGUGAAAUUCGUAGAUAUCGGGAGGAACACCAGUAGCGAAGGCGACUUUCUGGCCCAAUACUGACGCUGAGGCGCGAAAGCGUGGGGAGCAAACAGG
RNAcentral lists this ribosomal RNA (253 nucleotides) under Desulfobacterales bacterium. Its description in RNAcentral is "partial 16S ribosomal RNA". It matches the Rfam family "Bacterial small subunit ribosomal RNA", at positions 524 to 776 of the family's 1533-position model. RNAcentral also lists the same sequence under 1 other name. The record is from RNAcentral. Lineage: Bacteria; Pseudomonadati; Thermodesulfobacteriota; Desulfobacteria; Desulfobacterales.